UUGACCUCAAAUCAGGUAGGACUACCCGCUGAACUUAAGCAUAUCAAUAAGCGGAGGAAAAGAAACUAACAAGGAUUCCCCUAGUAACUGCGAGUGAAGCGGGAAAAGCUCAAAUUUAAAAUCUGGCG
This 128-nucleotide ribosomal RNA is filed under the name Psilocybe cubensis. Its description in RNAcentral is "partial 28S ribosomal RNA". It matches the Rfam family "Eukaryotic large subunit ribosomal RNA", at positions 1 to 127 of the family's 3401-position model. Lineage: Eukaryota; Fungi; Basidiomycota; Agaricomycetes; Agaricales; Agrocybaceae. The record is from RNAcentral.